UCUAAAAUGUCUCUUGACAAUGACAAGUGUCUUACCAAUUCCUCCAACAAUCUCACUUCCUAAAAUAUCAUCAAUAGGAUUUCAGUUUGCUAAUCAAACUUACCAUAGACGAGGAACAGCUCCCAUUACAGAGGUACGGCCAUCACCCGAUUCAUUUGAUCCCUCAUCAGUUGUUGUGCCAUCCCCUGAUUUAGAUCUUGAUCAACCCAUUGCUACUUGAAAAGCCAUGGAGGAUGAAAUGAAAGCACUCAUUGAAAAUCGCACUUGGAAGCUUACUGCCCUUCCUGUGGGAAAGCAACCUGUUGGUUGUCGUUGGGUUUUCACGAUUAAGGUCCACCUUGAUGGCACCGUAGAUCAAUUGAAGACACGGUUGGUCGCCAGAGGAUAUACUAAAACAUAUGGUGUUGAUUAUGACAACACUUUUUCUCUUGUAGCCAAAAUUCCAUCUGUUCGUGUCUUUAUUUCUCUAGCAGCACAUUUUGGAUGGUUUCUUCAUCAAUUAGACAUCAAAAAUGCAUUCCUACAUUGUGAUUUGGCUAAAGAGGUGUAUAUGGAGCAAUCACCUGGAUUUGUUGCUCAGGGGGAGAAUCUGAUGUCAUUUACAUAAGGAAUUGUAUGGACUCAAGCAAUCUCCUCGUACUUGGUUUGGUAAGUUUAGUGAUGUUGUUAUCAAGUUUGAAUUAAAGUGUUGUCAAGUAGACCAUUCGAUCUUCAGUUCUGUCUCCUCAGCUAAUUGUAUUCUUCUGGUGGUAUAUGUGGAUGAUAUUAUCAUUACUGGCAGUUAUUCAUAUGGUAUUCAAUGACUCAAA
Eucalyptus grandis is the source of this 809-nucleotide long non-coding RNA. RefSeq lists it as uncharacterized. Lineage: Eukaryota; Viridiplantae; Streptophyta; Magnoliopsida; Myrtales; Myrtaceae. The record is from RefSeq and is a predicted model, not a curated record. The transcript is spliced from 2 exons.